Molecule: ribosomal RNA, 304 nt
Filed under: uncultured bacterium
Lineage: Bacteria
Description: partial 16S ribosomal RNA
Rfam family: Bacterial small subunit ribosomal RNA
Source: RNAcentral
CAGCAGCCGCCACGGUAAUACGUAGGGUGCAAGCGUUAUUCGGAAUUACUGGGCGUAAAGCGUGCGCAGGCGGUUAUAUAAGACAGAUGUGAAAUCCCCGGGCUCAACCUGGGAACUGCAUUUGUGACUGUAUAGCUAGAGUACGGCAGAGGGGGAUGGAAUUCCGCGUGUAGCAGUGAAAUGCGUAGAUAUGCGGAGGAACACAGAUGGCGAAGGCAAUCCCCUGGGCCUGUACUGACGCUCAUGCACGAAAGCGUGGGGAGCAAACAGGAUUAGAUACCCCCGUAGUCCCUGUCUCUUAUAC